UACGUAGGGGGCUAGCGUUGCUCGGAAUCACUGGGCGUAAAGGGUGCGUAGGCGGGUCUUUAAGUCAGGGGUGAAAUCCUGGAGCUCAACUCCAGAACUGCCUUUGAUACUGAGGAUCUUGAGUACGGGAGAGGUGAGUGGAACUGCGAGUGUAGAGGUGAAAUUCGUAGAUAUUCGCAAGAACACCAGUGGCGAAGGCGGCUCACUGGCCCGAUACUGACGCUGAGGUGCGAAAGCGUGGGGAGCAAACAGG
Molecule: ribosomal RNA, 253 nt
Filed under: uncultured bacterium
Lineage: Bacteria
Description: partial 16S ribosomal RNA
Rfam family: Bacterial small subunit ribosomal RNA
Source: RNAcentral